RNAcentral lists this ribosomal RNA (464 nucleotides) under uncultured bacterium. Its description in RNAcentral is "partial 16S ribosomal RNA". It matches the Rfam family "Bacterial small subunit ribosomal RNA", at positions 339 to 795 of the family's 1533-position model. The record is from RNAcentral.
CUACGGGCCGCUGCAGUGGGAAUAUUGCACAAUGGGCGCAAGCCUGAUGCAGCCAUGCCGCGUGUAUGAAGAAGGCCUUCGGGUUGUAAAGUACUUUCAGCGGGGAGGAAGGGAGUAAAGUUAAUACCUUUGCUCAUUGACGUUACCCGCAGAAGAAGCACCGGCGUAACUCCGUGCCAGCAGCCGCGGUAAUACGGAGGGUGCAAGCGUUAAUCGGAAUUACUGGGCGUAAAGCGCACGCAGGCGGUUUGUUAAGUCAGAUGUGAAAUCCCCGGGCUCAACCUGGGAACUGCAUCUGAUACUGGCAAGCUUGAGUCUCGUAGAGGGGGGUAGAAUUCCAGGUGUAGCGGUGAAAUGCGUAGAGAUCUGGAGGAAUACCGGUGGCGAAGGCGGCCCCCUGGACGAAGACUGACGCUCAGGUGCGAAAGCGUGGGGAGCAAACAGGAUUAGAUACCCCCGUAGUC